This is a long non-coding RNA of Galeopterus variegatus (Sunda flying lemur), 1211 nucleotides long. RefSeq lists it as uncharacterized. Lineage: Eukaryota; Metazoa; Chordata; Mammalia; Dermoptera; Cynocephalidae. The transcript is spliced from 3 exons. The record is from RefSeq and is a predicted model, not a curated record.
GGCGGCUGAUGGGAAGUGUGGACGUGUUUGUCAGGGCUGUACGGGAUUCGGCCCGCUCCUUCGUACCCACCGCCUGAAUUUAUUUUGUGGACGGUUUCUUCUGUUCCCGUGGUAGCGGACAUUACUGGGAGGAAUGAGAGCGAGGAGGAGGAAGACGUUAGUCCUCGGACCCUUUCUAAGAGUCAUCUUGAAGAGUAACGCGAAGAUGGACACGCUGCGGCCUGCCUGGGCAUGCACAUUAGGGCUGUACGGAAUUCCCAAGCCAGGACUCUGUAGGGAGUUCCCACCAAGAAGGAGGCCCUCAUCAGAUAUGACUCCUGGAUUUUGGACGUCCUGUCCUCCAAGACUGAGUCAAAGACUGAGAGACGAAUAAAGCUUAUGGGAUAUUGAAAAGAGUUCCAGUUUGGAAUCUGGAAGGCCUGUUGUUUGAACCUCAGCUGUGCCUGUCAUAUGGCCUUAAGCAAGUAAGUCACUUCAGCUUUCUGAGCCAGAGUUUCUUCACUUGUCAUAUAUGUCUCGUAAUACUACAUACUCACAGGAUCUUUGUGAAGAGUCCUGAGGGAGAAGCGUGUGUGUGUGCACGUGCAUGCACACACACAUAUACUUUCCGCCACGUAUGGUAAGUAUUCAGUAAUUGGAAGCUACAUUACUUACUUUAGAGUUAAUGGGAAUGUUUCACACAUUCUGGCAAUAGGUUCCUUGUCAGUCUUACUUUUCAGGGUUGCUGCAAACUUUUCUCCCCUUCUGGGUCUUCUUAGGUAUUUUUGUCAGAAGCUGGGGGAGGCAGCUUCAAGGACUGUUCAUCAAAAGCCUUCUUAAACUGGAAGCCCGUAAAUAAAAAUAAAAUAAAGACAUGUGAUGAUUUUUUCACCAAUUGUAAUGACGACAACAACAACAACAAAACCCACAAAAGUUUCAUAAAGUGCUCUGUUAGCAAGGCUAUGGGAAACUCUUAUGCAUUGUUGGUGACAAUAUGAUUUGGUACACCCUUUGAAGACAAUUUAGGAAGUCUAGCAAAUUAUGAACGCGUAAAGCCUCUAACCCGGCACUUUCACCUCUGGAAAUUUAUCUCACGGACACACCAGUAUUUAUACACGUUUGAAAUAACAUAUGUGCCAGGUUGUUCACUGCAGCGUUGUUUGUAAUAGCAAAACCAAACGUCUGUCAUUAGAGCGCUCAUUAAAUAAAUUAUACAGCAAAGCUAUGAAAAA